AGGGUUCUUAUGUCCUAGAGUCCAAGAAUGAAUCUCACUGACACAGAAGGGUGAAGUGAGAGUUUAUUAAGUGAAGGACACCAUUGGAAGCAUUGGUUGUUCUACCAAGGCUUUGACUGGAAUAUUAUAUUUGAGAGACAUGCACAGACUCAUUUAUGACCAUACAUCUUUAAGGAACUAAAGUUGGCCUUGUGUCACAUGGAGCCAAUAAAGUCCCUUGGAACUGUUGGCCUGAUCCUUGCUUACAGAGGUCCUACCAGCUUUACCUAGCAAGUAAAAAAUGUCACUUCCUGGCACGUGCAGGGACUUCAGGAUGUUUUUGGGACCUUGAGAAAAGGAAUUUGCCCAAACCUGCAGUGUCUCCCUGCCUGAUGCCAAGACUCCUUCUCUGCUGACAGAUUGGUUCCCACUGGUAGAUGAUCCUUUCUACUCCAGGAGGUUCAUAUAUGCUGUCCACGUUGUAUUCAGCUGGAGAUCUGAUGAGGCUCUGCCUUUCAUAACCCCCUUCUAGGUUCCCCGACUGACCAACGUUGACCCACAAGCCCUCUGCUCUGCAGGAAGAAGCUACAGAAGAUGAGACCUUCCACCUUCAACAACCUUUAAGAUUUAAGGGUCAAAUUGUUCAGGGGAAAUGAUGAAGGAGCAGAAGGCAAGCAGACAGCAAAGCAGGAGCUGACACCGCCCUCCC
Long non-coding RNA from Lutra lutra (Eurasian river otter), 688 nucleotides. RefSeq lists it as uncharacterized. The transcript is spliced from 3 exons. The record is from RefSeq and is a predicted model, not a curated record. Lineage: Eukaryota; Metazoa; Chordata; Mammalia; Carnivora; Mustelidae.